RNA transcript from Anguilla rostrata (American eel), 1995 nucleotides. It is a transcript of the gene named zinc finger protein OZF-like, with no coding region annotated. The record is from RefSeq and is a predicted model, not a curated record. NCBI's taxonomy places the organism in Eukaryota, Metazoa, Chordata, Actinopteri, Anguilliformes, Anguillidae. The transcript is spliced from 3 exons.
UCGCAGAACAGUGUGCCAGUAGAUGGCAGUACAUCUGAAAUGUAAUGUAUCGUCGAGCUACGUCUUAAAUGGCAACGUUAGCAGCAGCCAUUAUUAGAGCCACGACUUGGAAAGAAAAAAAUUGUGUGAAGCUGCAAACGUUCCGUCUGUGGGAAACUUAUUUUGGCUGGAAGUAAAUGCCAUUAAUACAACUCAGGCCGAAAAGUCGGGAGUGUUUUGGUGAUUACAAUGGCCAACGCUGGAGAAGUGGUCAGGGACGAAAUAGAUACAAUUGAGAUAAAAGAGGAAACUGUAGAAGAUAUUUCAGUGGAAAUCUUGGAGGAAUGCAUUCUGGAAGAGGAAGACAUCAGUGGCAAAUGUAGUGAGUUGGACCACACCAGGUUGGAGUGCUUGGUACCCAAGGAUAAUUCAGAGAACACAUGGCCUAUUGAUGUAAUACAAAAUCAUCCUGUAUGUCCAACAGACAGGGAUAAUCUCCGAAACCUUUCCUGUAGAAGAUAUUGCAGAGGCCAGCAAGCACUGGACAAACACUUGCUUGAGAAACACUGGUCUAGUUUUGUGAAGGAGGAAGGGGUGCAGCGUCAACUGCAGGUUAACAAGCACCAAGAGACAAGUCUGUCUAUUGUGAGCACCACUGUCCUUCCUGGGGCUCUGUGGACAGGGGAGCGUGUUCUGACUUUCCACCACUGCCCAGAAUGUCACCAGAGCUACCAGUGCCUCAACAGCCAGAAAACUGUGCACCUGACAAAAGCACAGUCUGGCAGGAAGGGGGACCUAGAAGGGGUUGCAGAAACAAUGUUUCACUGUAUGAAAUGUGGGAAAACAUUCCAACGUAAGGACAUACUGAAGGUACACCAGCUCACACAUGCAGAAGCUCAGCCUUAUUCCUGUGCAGACUGUGGUAAGACUUUUGCUCAAUUUGACUCUCUGAAACUGCACAGCACAAGCCACUUUGAGGAGACUCCUUACCAGAGUGGUGCCAGUGACAAGAGCUCCCUGGUGAAGAACGUGGUGAAGUGGACCAGUGAGCCAUGUGCUGUGAAGCAUUCUUACUCUUGUACUGACUGUGGUAUGGCGUUUCACCUGCUACGCAGCCUACGCGACCAUGAAAAGACUCACCAUGGGAGUACUCUGUACAUCUGCACCGACUGUGGAAAGAGCUUUCGUCAGUCACGCAACCUGCAGCGGCACCAGCGGACCCACACAGGAGAAAGGCCCUAUCACUGCAAAGAUUGCGACAAAGGCUUCAGUCAGAUGGGUUCCCUAAAGCUUCACUUGCGCAGCCACACCGGCGAGACCCCAUACCAGUGUUCCUUCUGUGACAAGAGUUUUAGCCAGCUGGAGAACUUGAAGAGACACCGUCGCACACAUACCGGAGAGACUCCAUACCCCUGCACAGAAUGCGGCAAGAGCUUCAGCCAGCUAGGCAACCUGAAGGCUCACAUUCGUAUCCACACAGGAGAGACUCCGUUCUCCUGCUCUGUGUGUGGGAAGGGUUUCAAGAACAAAGGAAACCUCAAGGCCCACUGCCGGAUCCACACGGGGGAGACUCCCUUCCAGUGCAAGGACUGUGGGAAGAACUUUGGCUGGUUGGCUGCCCUUAAGACUCACCAGCGCACUCACACAGGGGAGAGGCCAUACCACUGCGAACGAUGUGGCGAAAGUUUUGCAUACUCAUACAAACUUCGCACACAUGGCUGCCAGGGCUGAGGGAGAGACCUGGGUUUGUUGGUAAAUAUUUUACAGAGGAUAAUUCAAAAGAGACUUCACCACAGUGUGCUUCACCACACUUAAUUCAAUUUGUAUGUUGUUACCUGUGUUUAAUGUGGUAGUAAUCUAACCAAAUAUAAUGAUUCAUAUUGGUAAUAAAACAUAUCUUUUUUAAAAUUCUGUCAUAAAACAAGUCUUUCAGUUUGGCUUAAGUUUUGGGUAAGAAACAUGAGAAAUCAAAAGAUAUUAAUUCCGUACUCUGGCACCCAUUACCCCUCUCGCACA